GACGAACCGUGCGAACGUUGUUCGGAAUCACUGGGCUUAAAGGGCGCGUAGGCGGCUCGCGAGGUCGGGGGUGAAAUCCCGCAGCUUAACUGCGGAAGGGCCUCCGAUACCGGCGGGCUGGAGGAAGGUAGGGGUGCGCGGAACUUCUGGUGGAGCGGUGAAAUGCGUUGAUAUCAGGAGGAACACCGGUGGCGAAGGCGGGACUCUGGGCCGAUACUGACGCUGAGGAGCGAAAGCGUGGGGAGCAAACAGG
This 253-nucleotide ribosomal RNA is filed under the name uncultured bacterium. RNAcentral describes it as "partial 16S ribosomal RNA". It matches the Rfam family "Bacterial small subunit ribosomal RNA", at positions 524 to 776 of the family's 1533-position model. The record is from RNAcentral.